CUGUGCUAGAUGGGGAGCUAGCGGUGCCCUGUAACCUGCAAUCCGCUAUAGCAGGAUUGAAUUCCCACUCCGAGGUUCGCUCGUUUUUAUGCGUCCUGAAUAAGCGGUGUUGAGAAAUCAAGCCCUUCGCAAUGGAAGCGUGCCCAACCCCGUCAGGACCGGAAGGUAGCAGCGGUAAGUACAUAAUCCAUGUGCCGCGGGAGCCCUUGGUUGGAGCCGGCUGUUCACUCAGUAUAAGAAAAGAGAAAUCGAGGAUGGGUGCACAG
Molecule: signal recognition particle RNA, 266 nt
Filed under: Calditrichota bacterium
Lineage: Bacteria; Pseudomonadati; Calditrichota
Description: Calditrichaeota bacterium signal recognition particle sRNA large type
Rfam family: Bacterial large signal recognition particle RNA
About the family: The signal recognition particle (SRP) is a universally conserved ribonucleoprotein involved in the co-translational targeting of proteins to membranes. Archaeal SRP consists of a 7S RNA and homologues of the eukaryotic SRP19 and SRP54 proteins.
Source: RNAcentral